This 1106-nucleotide unclassified non-coding RNA is filed under the name Hevea brasiliensis (rubber tree). Lineage: Eukaryota; Viridiplantae; Streptophyta; Magnoliopsida; Malpighiales; Euphorbiaceae. The record is from RNAcentral.
GGAGUUUGAAUCGGAUAACUCCGACGGGUUCGAUCGGUUACCCGACCCGCUUAUUCACCUCAUGUUCAACCAAAUCUCCGAUAUCAAAACCCUAAUCCGGUGCCGCUCCGUUUCCAAACGGUUCAAUUCGUUGGUACCUCAAGCCGAUUCGCUUCUCCUACGAGUUGACCGGGUAAUUUCGGCUACCGAUUCGGAUGACGACGAUGAUUCCUUCCUCAUUGCUUUCCUCAGAUCCAUUAUCAAAUCCAUUCACCAUCUCGUUUCACCAAGCAAGGUUCUCCCAACCCCUGCCCGAUCCCAGAACUCACCCGCACAGAUCCUACGGGAGUUCGAGAGGAUCAGGAAUCUACAAAUCGAGCUUCCUUCAGGUGAUCUUCGGUUAGAGAAAGGUACAACGAUUAGGUGGAAGGCGGAUUUUGGGAAAACCCUAAAGAGUUGCGUGAUUUUAGGGUUUCAUAGCGGGGAUGGAGGUGGUGGAGAGGCGGAGUUUGGAGGAGGAGCUGGCGCAGGGUUGAAAAUGAGGGUAGUUUGGACAAUUAGCGCGUUGAUUGCGGCAUCAGCGAGGCAUUACAUGAUGGUGGAGGUUGUAAACGAGCAUAAAGAGCUGGAGAAUUUGGUGAUCAAGGACAGAGAUGAUGAAGGGAAAGUGGUGAUGGAUAAGAAAGGAUUGAGAGAAUGUAGGGAAAGUCAAGGCGAAGGUGAAGAAGCUGAGGUAAACAAUGCCAGCAGUGGCAAUGGAGUUGGUUUGUGGUGGCGUAACAAUCGUACAACAGUGCCAGCCGUUCGAAUGAGGAUGUGGCAUGAAGCGAGGAUGGAACUCUCCGGUGGCAUGAAAAUGGUGGGAGCAACAUUGGUGGUUGUCCGACCGACAAAUGGAGGGGGUGAGAGGAGUGAGGUGGAAGAACAAAAUGGAGAUGUAGGAUUGGCAUUAGGAGCAUUUGGGGAAGAUGCAGUGUAUUGUGAAGCUGUGGAGAGGUUGCUGAAAAGUCGAAGUUACAUUCUGGAGAUGAACUCUUUCUAGUUCCUACUAUAUCUCACGUUCUGAAUACUCAACUUCCAAUAUACAGCAGCCUGUGGAGGGCUAAAAUGGCAACUAUUUAAAAUCC